AUUGAACGCUGGCGGCAUGCCUUACACAUGCAAGUCGAACGGCAGCACGGGAGCUUGCUCCUGGUGGCGAGUGGCGAACGGGUGAGUAAUACAUCGGAACGUACCCUGAAGUGGGGGAUAACGUAGCGAAAGUUACGCUAAUACCGCAUAUUCUGUGAGCAGGAAAGAGGGGGAUCGCAAGACCUCUUGCUUUAGGAGCGGCCGAUGUCGGAUUAGCUAGUUGGUGAGGUAAAGGCUCACCAAGGCGACGAUCCGUAGCGGGUCUGAGAGGAUGAUCCGCCACACUGGGACUGAGACACGGCCCAGACUCCUACGGGAGGCAGCAGUGGGGAAUUUUGGACAAUGGGCGCAAGCCUGAUCCAGCCAUGCCGCGUGAGUGAAGAAGGCCUUCGGGUUGGUU
Molecule: ribosomal RNA, 400 nt
Filed under: uncultured bacterium
Lineage: Bacteria
Description: bacterial SSU rRNA
Rfam family: Bacterial small subunit ribosomal RNA
Source: RNAcentral